Molecule: transfer RNA, 82 nt
Filed under: Termitomyces sp. J132
Lineage: Eukaryota; Fungi; Basidiomycota; Agaricomycetes; Agaricales; Lyophyllaceae
Also listed under: 1 other name
Source: Rfam by way of RNAcentral
GGGGGUAUAGCUCAGCUGGGAGAGCAGCAGACUGAAGUUGAUCGAUUUCUGAAGGUCCCGCGUUCGAUCCGCGGUACCCCCA